Sorghum bicolor (sorghum) is the source of this 1998-nucleotide RNA transcript. It is a transcript of the gene named D-glycerate 3-kinase, chloroplastic, with no coding region annotated. NCBI's taxonomy places the organism in Eukaryota, Viridiplantae, Streptophyta, Magnoliopsida, Poales, Poaceae. The record is from RefSeq and is a predicted model, not a curated record. The transcript is spliced from 12 exons.
CCUGAUUUUUUUUUUUGGACUCUUUCGCCAACUUCUGUGGCCAGCCGGCAUCCAUGGAGCCGCCGCUACCAGCAGGCCACGGCGCCCUGUUUGAGCUGACAGCUGACUAGCUGAGUGUGCUGCGAUUGCCGUGUCGGGGAGCUGAGAGACGCCAAACGGAAUGGCGAAAGCGACCGGCCGCGCGGCGGGCAGCAGGAGCUGCAUCGAGAGGCUGCCUGCGCCCCGCGCCCAAUCCACUUCGGAUCUAAUCCCCUCCGCCUCGUUCCCCUUCAACCCCCACGUCUCUCUCGCCGACGGCUCCGGCCUCGGGAUCUCGUGCUGGUGAUUGAUCGACACAAUGGCGCCGCUCCACGCCGCGCUGCGGCCGCCCUCCUCCGCUGCCGCCGCCGCUGCUCACCACCACGCGGCAGCCCCGCCUGUCUUCCUCGCUCGCUCGCCGUACCACCCCCGCAGGGCGGCGGCCUCCUGCUCGCUCGCCACCGCCGCCGCGCCCUCGUCGAGAAAAGCGUUCCUGUCAUGCCCGCCGGACCACUGGAUGACGGCCGCGCCGCCGCGCGCCAUCCCCUCCUCCUCGUCGUCGUCCCCGGCGCUCGUCGCGUCCGUGCAGGACCUGUACGACUUCAUCUACAGCGGCCCGCUGGUGGACAGGAUCGGCUACACCGAUGAGAAGAUCGCCGAGUCCAUCGACCGCUGGCUUCUUGCCGGGGCUCGGUUGGCGCGCCUUUUCCGCCUCAACGAGCUCCAGCUGUCGGAGGCCGAGAAGGCCCGGAUAUACCACUUCUACAUCCCCGUCUUUCUCUGGUGCGAGGACCAGGUCAUGGAGCACAGAGCCAAGUACAACGACGGUGAUGACAUCCCACCAUUGGUGAUUGGGGUCAGUGCUCCUCAAGGAAGUGGAAAGACGACUCUUGUCUUCGCACUUGAUUAUCUUUUUCGGGUUGCUGGUAGGAAUUCUGUCACAUUGUCUAUAGAUGACUUCUAUUUGACAGCAAAAGAACAGAAUGAACUGAGGGACAGAAAUCCUGGAAAUGCUCUUUUAGAGCUCCGUGGAAACGCUGGAAGCCACGAUCUCCAAUUCUCAGUUGAAACACUUGAGUCACUGAUCAAACUAACAAAGGAAGGUAUGAAGAUGAAGGUUCCACGGUAUGACAAGUCUGCUUUUGGGGGAAGGGGUGACCGGGCUGAUCCUUCUGUAUGGACAGAGGUUGAAGGGCCCUUAGAGGUUGUUCUGUUUGAAGGAUGGAUGCUUGGAUUUAAACCUCUUCCAAAUGAAGAAGUGAAAAAAGUGGAUCCACAGCUUGAGGUGGUUAACAAGAACCUUGAAGCAUACUAUGGUGCUUGGGACAGGUUCAUCCAAUCAUGGAUUGUUAUUAAAAUAAGAGAACCCAAUUGUGUAUACCAGUGGAGGCUGCAGGCAGAGGUAGCUAUGAGAGCAGAUGGAAAACCUGGAAUGUCCGAUGAGGAGGUGUGUUCUCUGACAAAGCUAUUCACUCCCUAGAAUGACGUAACCCCUCUGUCAUCCUAGUAACAUUAUUUGUUGGAGCUUUGCUGAUGGUUGUGUGAUGUGGUUUCUUCGGUUAUGGAUUUUGUAUCACGCUACCUACCAGCAUACCAAGCAUAUUUGCCCACUUUAUACAAAGAUGGACCAAAUGGUUCGAAUCCAGACCAUCUGCUGGUCAUCGACAUAGAUGAAAAUAGGAAUCCUAUUUGUGGUGGAGACUGGGAUGUGGCAUGUUUGUGAAACUACUUUUAUGCCCGUCAAACACCACUGGCCUCUUGUUUCCCACACUCUAGUUUAAAUCUGUGAAUUUCAUGUAAAUUGCUGUCUAUUAAAGGGAAUCAGCAUUCUGCUUUUGCUCCCCUGUUACCCAAUUGUAAAUAUACGGCCUAUGCUCGCCUGCAUUUUAAGUCACUGACUCAAUUCAGCAUGUAAAUAAAUUUCGCUCCUGUCUGGUGAGGUACUCCCUCCAGUCACAAGGCUUAAGGCACUUUUUAAUC